CCCUCUCUCUCUCCCUCCACUCCUGAGCCCAGCUAACGACCUGCACCUGCACCUCAUCAGCCACCUCCUCUGCCUGCCACACCUGCCAGCAAUCAGCCUCAUCUCCAACAGUACUUCUGCCCUGGUUCUCCACUGCAUUGCUGCUUGAUCGUCGUUGCUCCUAACCCGGUUCACUCACCCUCGUCCUCUGUCAAGUCGGCUGGGCUCGCUCACCUGCCCUCUCCCCUCGGACUUUCCCCACGGCAUCCUCCCAGUUCUCCCGUGCCUCGUCUCUUCCUCGGCCCCCAGUGCCCCCCGGCCCUCUGGUCUCAGUCUCCUCGGUUACCCGUGCCGGCGUCUCCCCGGCUUCCACCUCUCCCCUCAACUUCAGUCCCUCAACCCCUUCUUUCCCCUAAAUAAAUUAAUAUCCACAAGGUUGUGUGUCCUGUCACCUCAUGGGAACCCUGUCAAACAUGAACUAAAAGGAGAUAAUAAAGUUUUAUUUCAGUUA
Long non-coding RNA from Micropterus salmoides (largemouth bass), 490 nucleotides. RefSeq lists it as uncharacterized. The record is from RefSeq and is a predicted model, not a curated record. The transcript is spliced from 2 exons. Lineage: Eukaryota; Metazoa; Chordata; Actinopteri; Centrarchiformes; Centrarchidae.